Molecule: long non-coding RNA, 1148 nt
Organism: Doryrhamphus excisus (bluestripe pipefish)
Lineage: Eukaryota; Metazoa; Chordata; Actinopteri; Syngnathiformes; Syngnathidae
Source: RefSeq, a predicted model, not a curated record
GUUGAAGUUGUAGCCGCUGUCACACUCGCAGUGAUAGGAGCCCAUUGUGUUGAUGCAGCCGUGACCAGAGCACACCUGGUUGGGGCCUUUGCACUCGUCGAUGUCUUGAGCGUAAAGGUAGAAUCCUCACCAAUGCAGCUGCCCAGAGCGUCCUGGAUGAAACCAGCACCACAUUUGACCUUCGGGAGACAACGGAAUGACCCCUGGGUAUUUUGGCACUCAAACUCUGGACCACAGUUAUGGAUGCCUGUCUCGCACUCGUCAAUAUCUGGUGUUGGAGAACAAAGAGUCACAUGCUCCUUGGUCUUUGGCCAUGUUGAUGCCGGUGGUGCACAUGUUGUCCUCCAGCACGGCCAAACAGCACUGCUCCUGCACUGUCCUGUCAUGACAGAUACAAUACCUCAAUAGUUUUUACUCUGGGGCCACUGUAAGUGUUUUCCAAACUCUGCUCAUAGUUGGCAUUCCAAGACCACCGCUGUCUGUGACUUUUAAAACCCAAGAUUGAAAGAACAGAAGGGGCCUCUUUUGGUUAUUAUCAGAACGAGGCGAACCAGACACGCCGCUGUUGUUGUGAUGUAUUGUCUGCUGAUUUCCAUCUUGGAUGGGACCAGGGCGAGAUGAGCGAUGUGGGGGCCGCUCUCUUUUUUUUGGCAGGACGACACACGGCUCGCCUUCGUCUAGACGCCUCGUGUAAACAAGGCUUAAUGAGUUCAGUGGUGAAACACCAACCCGCGAGGAGAGACUGGAACCUACUGCAUCUCUCUAUAUGUCUAUCUAGCGGAUUUCAAAGAAAAUAUGGGAAUUGAACUCGUGUCAAAUGUGCCAAAUUGUCACUGCCUAUGCCAGGUAGCUGGUGCUGCCUUGUGACGACUUGUACAAGACUGGAAUGCCAUCCCACAGUGGUGUGUGACCAGGCUGUUUGGUAAAAGAAUCAAUUGCUGCUAGUGUGUCCUCUACAGCCGCCCCUUGUUUAAUGUGGUUAAUUGGUUCCAGACCCAAAAGCACUAAGUGAAUUUCCACUAUGUAGGAAACAUGGACAAUUAUAAAUAAGGCAAAAUAAAAUAAUUAAUAAGAACAUGCAAACUCCACACAGUGUGGCCACACAGCUAGGAGACCCAUGUUCGAUUCCCCGCUCCCGCUUUUCUCCA